This 493-nucleotide ribosomal RNA is filed under the name uncultured bacterium. RNAcentral describes it as "bacterial SSU rRNA". It matches the Rfam family "Bacterial small subunit ribosomal RNA", at positions 8 to 527 of the family's 1533-position model. The record is from RNAcentral.
AGAGUUUGAUCAUGGCUCAGAAUGAACGUUGGCGGCGUGGAUUAGGCAUGCAAGUCGAGCGAGUCUACUUUGUAGCAAUAUGAAGUAAGUCGAGCGGCGUAAGGGGCAGUAAUACCUGGGAACGUACCCUGAGGUCGGGGAUAGCUGCUGGAAACGGCGAGUAAUACCCGAUGAUCUUGGAAAAGAAGGCUUGCCGCCUUGGGAGCGGCCCAGGCGAUAUUAGCUAGUUGGUGGGGUAAUGGCCUACCAAGGCAUAGAUGUCUAGCGGGUGUGAGAGCACGACCCGCGCCACUGGCACUGAGACACUGGCCAGACACCUACGGGUGGCUGCAGUCGAGAAUCUUCGGCAAUGAGCGCAAGCUUGACCGAGCGACGCCGCGUGCGGGAUGAAGGCCUUCGGGUUGUAAACCGCUUUGGUCCGAAAGAAAGGGUAAAACUUGAUCGAUCGGAGAAACAAGGACGGGCAGUCGAAUGCCAGCAGCCGCGGUAGACG